RNAcentral lists this unclassified non-coding RNA (269 nucleotides) under plant metagenome. Its description in RNAcentral is "partial contains small subunit ribosomal RNA, internal transcribed spacer 1, and 5.8S ribosomal RNA". The record is from RNAcentral.
UUUCCGUAGGUGAACCUGCGGAGGGAUCAUUAAUGAGUUGUCAUGGGGUUCGAUGCUGGCAGCCAAUUUUUGGAUGCAUGUGCUUGCCCUAACAAUCAUCUUCCAAACACCUGUGCACAUUUUUGAGGGAGUCUUGAGUUGGUUGCCGCUCUUGGGUGAUUUUCUCACAUUCCCUUAAAUCAUUAUACGCUAUUAACAAUGUUGAACGUGCUCUGUGCCGCAAGGCUAUUAAUAUAAUACAACUUUUAACAACGGAUCUCUUGGCUCUC